UACGUAGGGUGCAAGCGUUGUCCGGAAUUAUUGGGCGUAAAGAGCUCGUAGGCGGUUUGUCGCGUCUGCUGUGAAAACUCGGGGCUUAACCCCGGGCCUGCAGUGGGUACGGGCAGACUAGAGUGCGGUAGGGGAGACUGGAAUUCCUGGUGUAGCGGUGAAAUGCGCAGAUAUCAGGAGGAACACCGGUGGCGAAGGCGGGUCUCUGGGCCGUAACUGACGCUGAAGAGCGAAAGCGUGGGGAGCGAACAGG
Molecule: ribosomal RNA, 253 nt
Filed under: uncultured bacterium
Lineage: Bacteria
Description: partial 16S ribosomal RNA
Rfam family: Bacterial small subunit ribosomal RNA
Source: RNAcentral